This 509-nucleotide ribosomal RNA is filed under the name uncultured bacterium. RNAcentral's name for it is "partial 16S ribosomal RNA". It matches the Rfam family "Bacterial small subunit ribosomal RNA", at positions 28 to 523 of the family's 1533-position model. The record is from RNAcentral.
GAUGAACGCUAGCUACAGGCUUAACACAUGCAAGUCGAGGGGCAGCAUGAAAGGAACUUCGGUUCUUUUUGAUGGCGACCGGCGCACGGGUGCGUAACGCGUAUCGAACCUGCCUCAUACUCGGGGAUAGCCUUGCGAAAGUAAGAUUAAUACCCCGGCGGUCUCGGAUGGCCGCAUGACUGUCCGAGUGAAGAUUUAUCGGUAUGAGAUGGCGAUGCGUCCCAUUGGCUAGUUGGUGAGGUAACGGUUCACCAAGGCAUCGAUGGGUAGGGGUUCUGAGAGGAAGGUCCCCCACAUUGGAACUGAGACACGGUCCAAACUCCCACGGGAGGCAGCAGUGAGGAAUAUUGGUCAAUGGACGAAAGUCUGAACCAGCCAAGUAGCGUGCAGGACGACGGCCCUCUGGGUUGUAAACUGCUUUUAGUUGGGAAUAAAAAGAGGGACGUGUCCCUUAUUGUAUGUACCAUCAGAAAAAGGACCGGCUAAUUCCGUGCCAGCAGCCGCAGUAA